This 72-nucleotide transfer RNA is filed under the name Aedes aegypti (yellow fever mosquito). It matches the Rfam family "tRNA". From Rfam's summary of the family: Transfer RNA (tRNA) molecules are approximately 80 nucleotides in length. Their secondary structure includes four short double-helical elements and three loops (D, anti-codon, and T loops). Further hydrogen bonds mediate the characteristic L-shaped molecular structure. tRNAs have two regions of fundamental functional importance: the anti-codon, which is responsible for specific mRNA codon recognition, and the 3' end, to which the tRNAs corresponding amino acid is attached (by aminoacyl-tRNA synthetases). tRNAs cope with the degeneracy of the genetic code in two manners: having more than one tRNA (with a specific anti-codon) for a particular amino acid; and 'wobble' base-pairing, i.e. permitting non-standard base-pairing at the 3rd anti-codon position. Lineage: Eukaryota; Metazoa; Arthropoda; Insecta; Diptera; Culicidae. The record is from Rfam by way of RNAcentral.
GGCACUGUAGCUUAGUUCGUAAAGUCCUCGUCUAGCAUACAAGAGUCCAGGGUUCGAAUCCCUGCUGAGCAC